RNAcentral lists this ribosomal RNA (855 nucleotides) under uncultured Flavobacteriia bacterium. RNAcentral's name for it is "bacterial SSU rRNA". It matches the Rfam family "Bacterial small subunit ribosomal RNA", at positions 58 to 908 of the family's 1533-position model. The record is from RNAcentral. Lineage: Bacteria; Pseudomonadati; Bacteroidota; Flavobacteriia.
CAAGUCGAGGGGCAGCAUGGUGUAGCAAUACACUGAUGGCGACCGGCAAACGGGUGCGGAACACGUACGCAAUCUACCCAAAACUGAUGAAUAGCCCUCCGAAAGGAGGAUUAAUACAUCGUAAGAUAAUGAAGUGGCAUCGCUUUAUUAUUAUAGCUCCGGCGGUUUUGGAUGAGCGUGCGCCUGAUUAGGUAGUUGGCGGGGUAACGGCCCACCAAGCCUGCGAUCAGUAACUGGUGUGAGAGCACGACCAGUCACACGGGCACUGAGACACGGGCCCGACUCCUACGGGAGGCAGCAGUAAGGAAUAUUGGUCAAUGGACGCAAGUCUGAACCAGCCAUGCCGCGUGAAGGAUGAAGGUCCUCUGGAUUGUAAACUUCUUUUAUAUGGGAAGAAAUUCUCGCAUUCUUGCGGGAUUGACGGUACCAUAGGAAUAAGCACCGGCUAACUCCGUGCCAGCAGCCGCGGUAAUACGGAGGGUGCAAGCGUUAUCCGGAUUCACUGGGUUUAAAGGGUGCGUAGGAGGGCAGGUAAGUCAGUGGUGAAAUCUCCAAGCUUAACUUGGAAACUGCCGUUGAUACUAUCUGUCUUGAAUAUUGUGGAGGUGAGCGGAAUAUGUCAUGUAGCGGUGAAAUGCUUAGAUAUGACAUAGAACACCAAUUGCGAAGGCAGCUCGCUACACAUAUAUUGACUCUGAGGCACGAAAGCGUGGGGAUCAAACAGGAUUAGAUACCCUGGUAGUCCACGCCCUAAACGAUGGAUACUCGACAUACGCGAUACACUGUGUGUGUCUGAGCGAAAGCAUUUAAGUAUCCCACCUGGGAAGUACGACCGCAAGGUUGAAACUCAAAGGA